GACGAACGCUGGCGGCGUGCUUAACACAUGCAAGUCGAGCGGGAAACUUCGGUUUCCAGCGGCGGACGGGUGAGUAACACGUGGGCAACCUGCCUCACAAUGAGGGAUAGCCUUCCGAAAGGAAGAUUAAUACCUCAUAACACAAGAGAAACACAUGUUUCUCUUGUCAAAGAAUUUCGUUGUGAGAUGGGCCCGCGGCGCAUUAGCUUGUUGGUGAGGUAAAGGUUCACCAAGGCUGCGAUGCGUAGCCGACCUGAGAGGGUGAUCGGCCACAUUGGAACUGAGACACGGUCCAGACUCCUACGGGAGGCAGCAGUGGGGAAUAUUGCACAAUGGAGGAAACUCUGAUGCAGCAACGCCGCGUGAGUGAUGAAGGUCUUCGGAUUGUAAAGCUCUGUCUUCUGGGACGAUAAUGACGGUACCAGAGGAGGAAGCCACGGCUAACUACGUGCCAGCCGCCGCAGUAA
RNAcentral lists this ribosomal RNA (467 nucleotides) under uncultured bacterium. RNAcentral's name for it is "partial 16S ribosomal RNA". It matches the Rfam family "Bacterial small subunit ribosomal RNA", at positions 28 to 523 of the family's 1533-position model. The record is from RNAcentral.